Long non-coding RNA from Cercocebus atys (sooty mangabey), 8673 nucleotides. RefSeq lists it as uncharacterized. The record is from RefSeq and is a predicted model, not a curated record. The transcript has 4 exons. NCBI's taxonomy places the organism in Eukaryota, Metazoa, Chordata, Mammalia, Primates, Cercopithecidae.
GGUCUGUUAGUAUCUGAGGAGGUAGGAUCUGGUACAGGUAUGAUGAUCUGGGUCUGUCAAGUCUGAGGAGGUAGGACCUGGCCCUGGUAUACGGAUCUGGGUCUCUUCAUGUCUGAGGAGGUAGGAAUCUGUUACAGGCAUGAGGAUCUGGGUCUGUCAAUGUCUGAGGAGGUAGGACCUGGCCCUGGUAUGCGUAACUGAGUCUCUUCAUGUCUGCAGAGGUAGGGUCUGGGUCUGUCCCUGUCUGAGGAGGUAGGAUCUGGCAUAAAUAGGAGGAUCUGGGUCUUUCAGUGUCUGAGAAGGUAGGAUCUGGCCCUGAUAGGAAGAUGAGGAUCUGAGACUGUCAAUAUCUGAGGAGGUAGGAUCUGGGUGCGGGUAUAAGAAUCUGGAACUGUCAGUAUCUGAGGAGGUAGGAUCUGGCCUUGGUAUGAGGAUCUGGGUCUUUCAAUAUCGGAGGAGGUACAAAUCUGGUACAGGUAUGAAGAUCUGGGUCUCUCCAUGUCUGGAGGUAGAAUCUGGUACAAGUGUGAGGAUCUGGGUCUGUCUAUGUCUGAGGAGGUAGGAAUCUGAUACAGGUAUGAGGAUCUGGGUCUGUCCAUGUCUGAGAAGGUAGGAUCUGGCCCUGGUAUGAGGCUUAUGAGGAUUUGGGUCUGUCAGUGUCUGAGAAGAUAGGAUCUGGGUGCGGGUACAGGUGUGAGGAUCUGGGUCUGUCAGUGUCUGAGGAGGUAGGAUCUGGUACAGGUGUGAGGAUCUGGGUCUCUCUAUGUCUGAACAGGUAGGAUCUGGUACAAGCGUGAGGAUCUGGGUCUGUCCGUGUCUGAGGAGGUAGGAUCUGGAGCAAGUAUAAGGAUCUGGGUCUUUUAAUGUCUGAGAAGGUAGGAUCUGGCACUGGUAUGAGGAUCUGAGUCUUUCAAUAUUUGAAGAGGUAGGAAUCUAGUACAGGUAUGAGGAUCUGGGUCUCUCCAUGUCUGAGGAGGGAGGAAUCUGUUACAGGCAUGAGGAUCUGGGUCUGUCAGUGUGUGAAGAGUACUGUCUGGCCCUGGUAUGAUGAUCUGUGUCUCCCCAUGUCUGAGGAGGUAGGAUCUGGAUCUCUCCGUGUCUGAGGAGGUAGGAUCUGGCAUGAGUAUGAGGCUCUGGGUAUGUCCAUGUCUGUGGAGGUAGGAUCUGGAGCAGGUAUAAGGAUCUGGGUCUUUCAAUGUCUGAGAAGGUAGGAUCUGACCCUGGUAUAAGGAUCUGGGUCUGUCAGUAUCUGAGGAGGUAGGAUCUGGGUGCAGGUAUAAGAAUCUGGUACGGUCAGUAUCUGCGGAGGUAGGAUCUGGGUGCCGGUAUAAGGAUCUGGAUCUGUCAGUAUCUGAGGAGGUAGGAUCUGGCCCAGGUAUGAGGAUCUGAGUCUGUCCAUGUCUGAGGAGGCAGGAUCUGGUACAGGUAUGAAGAUCUGGUUCUCUCCAUGUCUCAGGAAGUAGCAUCUGGUACAGGUAUGAGGAUCUGGGUAUGUCCAUGUCUGAGGAGUUAGGAAUCUGGUACAGAUAGGAGCAUCUGGGUGUGUUCGUGUCUGAGGAGGUAGGAUUUGGUGCAUGUAUUAGGAUCUGGGUCUGUCCAUGUCUGAGGAGGUCGCAUCUGGCACGGAUAUCAGGAUCUAGGUAUUUUAAUGCCUGAGAUGGUAGGAUCUGGCCCUCGUUUGAGGAUCUGGGUCUUUCAGUAUCUGAGGAAGUAGGAAUCUGGUACAGGUAUGAGGAUCUGGGUCUGUCAAUGUCUGAGGAGGUAGGAACUGGCCCUGGUAUACGGAUCUGGGGUCUCUUCAUGUCUGAGGAGGUAGGAAGCUUACAGUCAUGAGGAUCUGGAUCUGUCAAUGUCUGAGGAGGUAGGACCUGGCCCUGGUAUGCGGAUCUGGGUCUCUUCAUAUUUGAGAAGGUAGGAUCUGGGUCUGUCCAUGUCUGUGGUGUCUGUGGAGGUAGGAUCUGGUGCAGAUAUAAGGAUCUGGUCUUUCAGUGUCUGAGAAGGUAGGAUCUGGCCUUGGUACAAGGAUUUGGGUCUGUCAAUAUCUGAGUAGGUACGAAUCUAGUACAGGUAUGAGGAUCUGGGUCUCUCCAUCUCUGAGGAAGUAGCAUCUGGUACAGGUAUGAGGAUCUGGGUCUGUCUGUGUCCAAGGAGGUAGGAUCUGGUACAGGUGUGAAGAUCUGGGUCUGUCUAUAUCUGAGGAGGUAGGAUCUGGCCCUGGUAUGGGGAUCUGGGUCUGUCCAUGUCUGAGAAGGUAGGAUCUGGCCCUGGUAUGAGGCUUAUGAGGAUUUGGGUCUGUCAGUAUCUGAGGAGGCAGGAUCUGGGUGCAGGUACAGGUAUGAGAAUGUGGGUCUGUCAUUGUCUAAGGAGGUAGGAUUUAGCCCCAGUAUGAGGAUCGGGGUCUGUUCAUGUCUGAGAAGGUAGGAUCUGACUCUGAUAUGAGGAUUACAAGCAUCUGGGUCUCUCAGUAUCCGAUGAGGUAGGAUCUGGGUGCGGGUAUAAGGAUCUGGAUCUCUCAGUAUCUGAGGAGGUAGGAUCUGGCCCUGGUAUGAGGAUCUGAGUCUGUAAAUGUCUGAGGAGGUAGGAUCUGGUACAGGUGUGGGGAUCUGGGUCUCUAUGUCUGAAUAGGUAGGAUCUGGUACAUGUAUUAGGAACUUGGUCUGCCCAUGUCUGAGGAGGUAGGACCUGGCCCUGGUAUGAGGAUCUGGGUCUCUUCAUGUCUACGGAGGUAGGAUCUGGGUCUGUCCAUGUCUUAGGAGGUAGGAUCUGGCCUGAGUAUGAGGAUCUGGCUCUGUCCAUGUCUGCGGAGGUAGGAUUUGGUGCAGAUAUAAGCAUCUGGGUCUUUUAAUGUCUGAAAAGGUAGGCUCUGGCCUUGGUGUGAGGAUCUGGGUCUAUUAAUAUCUAAGGAGGUACGAAUCUAGUACAGGUAUGAGGAUCUGGGUCUCUCCAUGUCUGAGAAGAUUGACUGUAGUACAGGUAUGAGGAUCUGGGUCUGUCAGUGUCUGAGGAGGUAGGAUUUGGCCCUGGUGUGAGGAUUUGGGUCAGUCAGUGUCAGGAGUUAGGAUCUGGCCCUGUUAUGAGGAUCUGGGUCUGUUCAUGUCUGAGAUGGUAGGAUCUGGCCCAUUAGGAUUUUGAGGAUAUGGGUCUGUCAGUAUCUGAAGAGGUAGUAUCUGGGUGCGGGUAUAAGGAUCUGUAUCUGUCAGUAUCUGAGGAGGUAGGAUCUGGCCCUGAUAUGAGGAUCUGAGUCUGUCAAUUUCUGAGGAGGUAUGAUCUGGUACAGGCAUGAGAAUCUGGGUCUGUCCAUGUCUGAGGAGGUAAGAUCUGGCACAGAUAUAAGGAUCUGGGUCUGUUCAUGUCUCAGGAGGUAGGACGGCGCAAUUAUAGGGAUCUGGGUCUAUCAAUGUCUGAGAAUGUAGCAUCUGGCUCUAGUAUGGGGAUCUGGGUCUUUCAAUAUCUGAGGAGGUAGGAAUCUGGUACAGGUAUGAAGAUCUGGGUCUCCUCACGACUGAGGAGGUAGGAGUCUGUUACAGGCAUGAAGAUCUGGGUCUGUCAAUGUGUGAGGAGGUAAGAUCUCUUCCUGAUAUGACAAUCUGGGUCUGUCAGUGUUUGAGGAGGUAGGAAUCUGGUACACGUAUGAGGAUCUGCAUCUGUCAAUGUCUGAGGAGGUAGGACCUGGCCCUGGUAUGAGGAUCUGGGUCUCUCCAUGUCUGAGGAGUAGGAUCUGGAUGUGCCCGUGUCUGAGGAGGUAGGAUCUGGCAUGAGUAUGAGGAUCUGGAUCUGUCCAUGUCUGCAGAGGUAGGAUCUGGAGCAGGUAUAAGGAUCUGGGUCUUUCAAUGUCUGAGAAGGUACGAUCUGGCCCUGGUAUGAGGAUCUGGGUCUUUCAAUAUCUGAGGAGGUAGGAAUCUAGUAUUGGUAUGAGGAUCUGGGUCUUUCCGUGUCUGAGGAGGUUGGAUCUGGUACAGGUAUGAGGAUCUGGGUCUGUUCAUGUCUGAGAAGGUAGGAUCUGGCCCAGUAAGAUUAUGAGGAUCUGAGUCUGUCAGUAUCUGAGGGGGUAGGAUCUGGCCCUGGUAUGAGGAUCUGGAUCUGUCAGUAUCUGAGGAGGUACGGAUCUAGUACAGGUGUGAAGAUCUGGGUCUGUCUAUGUCUGAGGAGGUAGGAAUCUGGUACAGGUAUGAGGAUCUGGGACUGUCAGUGUCUGAGGAAGCAGGAUCUGGCCCUGGUAUGAGGAUCUGGGUCUGUCCAUGUCUGAGAAGGUAGGAUGUGGCCCUGGUUUGAGGCUUAUGACGAUCUGGGACUGCCAGUAUCUGAGGAGGCAGGAUCUGGCCCUUGCAUGAGGAUCUGUGUCUGUCAAUGUCUGAGAAGGCAGGAUCUGGUACAGGUGUUAGGAUUUGGGUCUCUCCGUGUCUGGAGGUAGGAUCUGAUACAGAUGUAAGGAUCUGGGUCUGUCCAUCUCUGAGGAGGUAGGAUCUGGUACAAGUAUGAGGAUCUGGGUCUCUCCAUGUGUGAGAAGGUAGGAAUCUGGUACAGAUACAAGGAUCUGGGUCUGUUUAGGUAGGAUCAUGUCUGAGGAGGUAGGAUUUGGUGUGGGUAUUAGGAUCUGGGUCUGUCCAUGUCUGAGGAGGUAGGAUGUGGCACAAAUAGAAGGAUUUGGGUCUAUCAGUGUCUGAAAAGGUAGGAUCUGGCCCUGGUAUAAGGAUCUGGGUCUUUCAAUAUCUGAGGAGGUAGGAAUCUGGUACAGGUAUGAAGAUCUGGGUCUCUGUAUGUCUGUGGAGAUAGGAAUCUGUUACAGGCAUGAGGAUCUGGGUCUGUCAAUGUGUGAGGAGAUAAGAUCUGGCCCUGGUAUAAGGAUCUGGGUCUGUCAGUGUUGGAGGCGGUAGGAAUCUGGUACAUAUAUGAGGAUCUGCGUCUUUCACUGUCUGAGGAGGUAGGACCUGGCUCUGGUAUGAGGAUGUGGAUCUCUCCAUAUCUGAGGAGGUAGGAUCUGAGUCUGUCCGUGUCUGAGGAGGUAGUGAGGAUCUGGGUCUGUUCAUGUCCGCGGAGGUAGGAUCUGUGGCAGGUAUAAGGAUCGGGGUCUGUUCAUGCCUGAGAAGGUAGGAUCUGUCCCAUUAGGAUUUUGAGGAUCUGGGACUGUCAGUGUCUGAAGAGAGAGUGUCUGGGUGCCGGUAUAAGGAUCUGGAUCUGUCAGUAUCUGAGGAGGUAGGAUCUGGCCCUGGUAUGAGGAUCUGAGUCUGUCAAUGUCUUAGGAGGUAGGCUCUGGUACAGGUGAGAGGAUCUGGGUCUGCCCAUGUCUGAGGAGGUAGGAAUCUGGUACAGGUAUGAGGAACUGGGUCUCUUCAUGUCUGAGAAGGUAGGACCUGGCCCUAGUUUGAGGAUCUGGGUCUUUCAAUAUCUGAGGAGGUAGGAAUCUGGUACAGGUAUGAGGAUCUGGGUCUCUUCAUGUCUGAGGAGGUAGGAUCUGGCCCUGGUAUGAGGAUCUGGGUCUGUUCAUGUGUGAGGAGGUAGGACCUAGCCCUGGUAUGAGGUUCUUGGUCUCUCCAAGUCUGAGGAAGUAGGUUCUGGGUCUGUCCAUGUCUGAGGAGGUAGGAUCUGGCAUGAGUAUGAGGAUCUGGGUCUGUUCAUGUCUGCAGAGGGAGGAUCUGGCUCAGACAUAAGGAUCUGGGUCUUUCCAUGUUUCAGAAGGUAGGAUCUGGUCUUGGUAUUAGGAUCUGGUACAGGUAGGAGGAUCUGAGUCUCUCCAUGUGUGAGAAGGUAGGAAUCUGGUACAGCUACAAGGAUCUGGGUCUGUUCAUGUCGUCAUUAUGGGUCUGUCCAGACAUCUUUCAAUAUCCAAGGAGGUAGGAAUUUGGUACAGGUAUGAGUAUUGGGUCUCUCCAUUUCUGAGGAUGUAGGAAUCUGUUACAGGCAUGGGGAUCUGGGUCUGUCAGUGUCUGAGGAGGAAGGACCUGGCCCUGGUAUGAGGAUCUGGGUCUCUCCAUGUCUGAGAAGGUAGGAUCUGGUGCACAUAUAAGGAUCUUGGUCUGUCAGUGUUGUGGAAGGUAGGAUCUGGCCCUGGUAUGAGUAUCUGGGUAUGUCAGUAUCUGAGGAGGUAGCAUCUGGCCCUGGUAUGAGGAUCUGGGUCUCUCAAUAUCUGAGGAGGUAGGAUCUCAUACAGGUAUGAGGAUCUGAGUCUUUCAAUAUCUGAGGAGGUAGGAUAUGGCACAGGUGUGAGCAUCUGGGUCUGUCUGUGUCUAAAGAGUUGGAGCUGUAUGCAGGUAUGAGGCCUUGGUUCUGCCAGUGUCUAAGGAAGUGAGGCUGGGCACAGAUAUGAGGCUCUAGGUGUGUCCAUAUCUGAGGAGGUAGGAUCUGGUACCAGUAUGAGGAUCUGAGUCUCUCCAUGUCUGAGGAGGUAGGAUCUGGUACUGGUAUGAGGUUCUGGGUCUGUCAGUAUCUGAAGAGAUAGUAGUCUGCUGCAGGUAUGAGGAUCUGGGUCUCUUCAUGUCUGAGGAGGUAGGAAUCUUGCAGGCUUGAGGAUCUGGGUCUGUCAAUGUUUAGGGAGGUAGGACCUGGCCCUGGUAUGAGGAUCUGGGUUUCUCCAUGCCUGAGGAAAUAGGAUCUGGGUCUGUCCCUGUCUAAGGGGGUAGGAUCUGGCGCAGAUGUAAAGAUCUGGGUCUUUCAAUGUCUGAGAAGGUAGGAUCUGGCCCUUUUUUGAGGAUCUGAGUCUUUCAAUAUCUGAGGAGGUAGCAAUCUGUUACAGGCAUGAGGUUCUGGGUCUGUCAAUGUCUGAGGAUCUGGGUCUCCCCAAGUCUGAGGAGGUAAGAUCUGGGUCUGUCCAUAUCUUAGGAGGUAGGAUCUGGCAUGAGUAUGAGGAUCUUGGUCUGUUCAUGUCUGAGGAGGGAGGAUCUGGUGCACAUGUAAGGAUCUGGGUCUGUCAGUGUGAGAGAUGGUAAGGUCUGGUCCUGCUAUGAGGAUCUGGAUCUGUCAGUAUCUGAGGAGGUAGGCUCUGGCCCUGGUAUGAGGAUCUGGGUCUGUCCAUGUCUGAGGAGGUAGGAUCUGGUACCAGUAUGAGGAUCGGGGUCUGUCAGUAUCUGAGGAGGUAGGAAUCUGGUACAGGUUUGAGGAUUUGGGUCUGUCUCUGUCUCAGGAGGAUGACCUCGUACAGGCAUGACUAUUUGAGUAUUGCAGUGUCUGUGGAGGUAGGAUAUGGUGUAGGUGUGAGGAUCUGGGUUUGUCCAUGGCUGAAGAGGCAGGAUCUGGUACAGGUGUGAGGAUCUGAGUCUGCUCACAUCUGAGGAGGUAGGAUCUGACCCGUUAUGAGGAUCUGAGUCUGUCAAUAUCUGAAGAGGUAGGAAUCUGGUACAGGUAUGAGGAUCUGUGUGUGUCAGCAUCUGAGGAGUUCGGAAUCUGAUACAGGUGUGAGAAUCUGCAUGUCUCUGUAUCUGAGGAGUUCAGAAUCUGAUACAGGUGUGAGGAUCUGCAUGUCUCUGUAUCUGAGGAGGUAGGAUCUCAUAGAGGUGUGAGGAUCUGCAUGUCUCUGUAUCUGAGGAGUUCAGAAUCUGAUACAGGUGUGAGGAUCUGCAUGUCUCUGUAUCUGAGGAGGUAGGAUCUCAUAGAGGUGUGAGGAUCUGCAUGUCUCUGUAUCUGAGGAGGUAGGAUCUCAUAGAGGUGUGAGGAUCUGCAUGUCUCUGUAUCUGAGGAGGUAGGAAUCUGAUACAGGUGUGAGGAUCUGCAUGUCUCUGUAUCUGAGCAGGUAGGAAUCUGAUAUAGGCGUGAGGAUCUGCGUGUCUCUGUAUCUGAGGAGGUAGGAUCUGAUACAGGUAUUAGGAUUUGGGUCUAUGUCUGAGGAAGUAGCAUCUGAUACAGGUAUUAGGACCUGGGUCUCUUUAAGUGUCUGAAGAGGUUGGAUCUGGCCCUGGUAUGAGCAUCUGGGUCUGUCAGUAUUUGAGGAGGUAGGAUCUUAUACAGGUAUGAGGAUCUGGGUCUUUCAAUGUCUGAGGAGGUAGGAUCUCAUACAGGUAUGAGGAUCUGGGUCUUUCAAUGUCUGAGGAGGUAGGAUCUGGCACAGGCAUGAGCAUCUGGGUCUGUCCAUGUCUAAAGAGUUGAAGCUGUGUGCAGGUAUGAGGCCUUGGGUCUGCCAGUGUCUGGGGAGGUGAGGCUGGGCACAGAUAUGAGACCCUGGGUCUGUCCAUAUCUGAGGAGGUAGGAUCUGGUAUGAGUAUGAGGAUCUGGGUCUGUUCGUGCCUGAGGAGGUGGGACCUGUGACAGGUAUGAGGCCCGGGGUCUGUCCGUGUCUGAGGAGGUAGGUCCUGGCACAGGUAUGAGGCCCGGGGUCUGUCCGUGUCUGAGGAGGUGGGUCCUGGCACAGGUAUGAGGCCCGGGGUCUGUCCGUGUCUGAGGAGGUGGGCCCUGGCACAGGUAUGAGGCCCUGGGUCUGCUGGUAUCUGCAGAGACAGGGCCCAACAUCUCAGGGAAGAGCCCGGUAAGCUCUUCAGUUUGUCUUGUGGCUGUGGUCAGUUCCACGUGUAGUCUGCCCUGUUGGUCUUCCCGUGUGUUGCCAGCGCCUGCCUGCUGCCUUGCUUCCUGGAGGUGGGUUGGGCCAGGGCCCUCCAAGAUGCCCCUGUGCAAGACCAGGGACAGGGUUUCCGGCAGGAGGUGGGGGGCGGGGUGUGCCGGCCCUCCCUCAGCACCUUGUCCUGUCUC